This is a long non-coding RNA of Alosa alosa (allis shad), 403 nucleotides long. RefSeq lists it as uncharacterized. The transcript has 3 exons. Lineage: Eukaryota; Metazoa; Chordata; Actinopteri; Clupeiformes; Clupeidae. The record is from RefSeq and is a predicted model, not a curated record.
UGCACCUAAAUGAUUUAUCUGGAUAUGAUAUAUAUGUGAUAAUUUCAUUUUCGUGCUUUGUAUGUUUUGCUUUCCUUUGUUGGCCAGGAAUGGGACUGGGAUGAUUAGACUGGCCGUCUGGCAACAGGAAAGAGGCUAUUGUGUAGAUGCUAUGUGAAAGUGAAUUUUAAAUUGGUUUAAAGGGGUAAGGACUGAGACUGCGGUUUUAUUGGCCAUCUGGAAAUACCCCGGGGGAGUGUAUUGUCGAGACACUCCGAACCACCUGUGUGUGGGCUCUGUUACGAUUUGACAAUGCUCUGUGAAAUGUGUUCCAGGCAGUGAAUUCACGUAUGGGCAUGAGGGAGAAAACACAACGGCGGAGGAAGAGCAGGAAGGAGAUGUGCAAAUCAGGGUGUAACUACUG